RNAcentral lists this long non-coding RNA (35586 nucleotides) under Vitis vinifera (wine grape). Its description in RNAcentral is "long non-coding RNA (VVIN_LNC000717)". Lineage: Eukaryota; Viridiplantae; Streptophyta; Magnoliopsida; Vitales; Vitaceae. The record is from RNAcentral.
GAAUAAUCAAGAAAGCAAAAAUGAACAAAAACAAAACAAGCAAAGAUGGACUUUUCCUUUUCUAACUCCAAGCAACCCCCCUGAUGUAUUCUCCAACCCCCACAAAAAGCCCUUACAAUUUGAGGGUGGACUAGCUCUACUGCAACCCUGAGUUUCCUUCAUUUGAGGAUACCAAGUUGAAGAAGUACCACCAUCAAAAUGCUAUGAUAACUCUACCUCUAAACUCUUGGAACUAAGCAUGCCAUGCUCCUUAAAGAAAAAGUGUCCUGGUUUGCAUUAGUGACCCUCUCCACGAUGACUUGGACCGGAAUAGGCUCGGUUUGUGAAGAACUCUUUGAUGGGUGAAGGAAAAGGCUGGUCCUUGAGAGGUCUCAAGCCAUCAACAUGCAUGGCAUAGGAGAGGAAGAGGAAGAAGAUGAUGAUGGAAAUGGUAUUGAAAGCAAAAAUGAGAGAAUGGCUCUUCAUUAUGGUGGCCUUUGUGUGUGGUUAGGCUAUUGGGUUUUGGUAGUUUUGAGAUAUGGUAUGUAGGGAGAAUGGAAAUAAGGACUUGUAUAUAAAGGAAAUGAAGAAGGGUGUUUGUGUGUUUUUCUUGACUUUGGUAAUUGUUGGUGUGUUUUGUAUAUUGAAAGAUUUGAAUUUGGAGUUCAAACUUUGAAAAUAGGAAUGUAGGUGGAUCAAAACAUAUGGCCAAGUCAAUGUCGGGCAAAAUAUAACUAAGUUGUUAGUCUUUUGGUAGGCUACAAAUUUAGCUUUUUUAAUAUGUUUGGUUGUUAUUUAUCUUGAACUUGGAACUAAGUUCCGUACUGUCACAACCCAACCAUGAAUGUAAAGUUGUCCCCUUGCCCCGACUCAUCCCACUCUCUCCACCUUCCUUUCCCAUUGAGACCCUUAAUGGGUCAAACACACAUCUCACACGUAGAAUGAAAACUAGCACAUUGGCCUUUUCAUUAGUCAAACCUAGAAACUUUCGUCUAUAUUAGGGUGUCUUUAGAUGGAGUUGAUGGAUUUGGUGAAAGUUUUAAGAUUGUUUCUCCACUGGAUAUUUGGUACUUCUUUUCAUAUGUUUCUUUCCCUUGAAGCAAUACGGCAACCACAUAAAAUAUUGGAAAUCAAACACUAGGAAAAUACUUACAACAUGGACUCUUUUUGGUGGGGAAGUAUUUUUCAAAACUCUAAACACACAUAUUUGACCGGUUUGAAGGAGGAGGAGGAGGAAGGAGGAGGAGGAGGAGGAGGAGGGUACGUGUUAAUUACUACCAUUAACAAAAUCUCUUGUUCAAAUGUUUUCGCCUCACCAACCACAGAGUUCCAUUUCCCUUUCACAAUAUAUUUGACCAACUUAGUUGCCUUUGACUUUGAUUGUAAACCCUGCAAAAAUUUUAUGGUUUUAUCUCCCUCUCUUCUUUCUUUAUUCAACCAUGUGCCAUAGUUGUUUGCUAUAUACAUUUUCACUCCUUGAUGCUAUCAAAAGUUCUUUACAAGUAUAAAAAUGUUGAUGCGAAAACAAGGUGGAUUGCACCAGAACUCCACGCCUCUUUUCCUUGAUCAACAUUUUUUCUGCCCAGUCUAACCAUAUUUUUUUCCCCUAUUUUCUUGUUUACAACUAUUUGGCCAAAUAAAACUUGGACAGAACUUUGAAAAAAUUGUAGUUGUAGAAAUUUGAAGUAAGAGGAAACGUGAUAUUGACCAAUAUGCUGAAAUUAGGGAACCCAGCAGAGAUUAAUAGAUGAAGUAAUGUGAAUGUUAAUAAUACAUGUUAGGAUGGCUACGAAAACAGUCAAAUGAAGGUAGGAUUAUUCGAGUCAAGAAUACAUAUCCACCUACACAUGGAAGAGGAGGUGGGAGUUGAAUGAGUCAAGAUAUAUCUUCUUCUUGAUGUCUCCAAGGAAAUCCUCUUGCCUAUCACACUUAAAUGUAAAUGUUAAAUCCAAAUCUUGUUUUGUUAUGAUCAAAACAUGAAAUUAACCAAACCUUGGUCUAACAAAGAUCACCUUAAGAUUUGCAAAUGUUUGAUGUUGAAGGGUAUACUACAACAAUUUAGCCUGUGCAUUUUUCCUUUAACAUUAGUGGAAGGAGUAGCUAUUUCUCACUUGCCUCAAAAGAAUUUCAUGAUCAACAAUAUAGUUUUAAUAUCUUAUGUUGAUUCCAAUAUAACCUAGUGAGAUGUCAAAAGCAUGAUCCACACAAACAAUGAACCACAUUCCUAUUGUUGUAUCUAAAAUUCACAAAUCGUUUGCUUACAUCAUCUAUAUAUUUUAAUCUGCUUGGCUUGUAUAUCAUGUAUGUUUAUGAAAACUUUGCAAAUGCUUUCCAUCUUUUGCCCUCUGUCAUUGGGUUCUUUGAUAUUCAAAAGCACUUGCCUCUUGAUUAUGUGCAUUAUUAUUCAUGGGGAAGAUAUAUCCACUAUAAGGAAAGUUCCCAAAUGUGUGUUUGUUUUUUUGUUGUGUGUGUGUGUGGAUAGAGAAAUAAAUGUAUUAGAAAGCACCAAACAAGGGGCUGUAACCAAAGUACACAAGAGCUAUACAGGAGACAUUCGAUCAAAAGAGCAAUAAGUUGCAACUGCCGGCAAGCAGGGAGGCCCAUGACUGAUCCUAACCUGUAAAUAAAUACUUAAAGAGAUAAACCUUUCUUCUAAAGAGUCCUCAGACCAAACAAAGUGAAAUUUAAAAAAAAAAAUAUUUUCAGAUUCUUUUGUUCUUCUGUGACACUAUUAUAAACUUGAUAAUGCCAUUCUCCACACCAUAAACUCCUCUUGUAUGUGGAACUUCCCUACCACCUAGUUAAUAUCUUCUUUACUGACUUUCUCCAUGUAAGUUUAAGAAAAUAAUGGAUUUGUAAUGAUCACCACAUAAUGAUGUUACUAUUUUUUGUUUUAUAACAAUAAAAUCUUACAUGAUGCAUGCAUUAAAAUUAAGGAUCUUUUGAAGCAUUAAAAGUUGUAUAGUGAGAACAUUUAAUCAACUAUAUAAAUAUUCCAUAUGUAUAACUGGGUCUUGCAAAUAUCCUUUUGAUAAGAUGUUAGAGACUCAACUCGAAAUCAAGAAUGGAACAAAAGAGAUGGAAAUGUCUUUUAGUUUCUUGUUCGUGGUGUGAAUUAAUCUGAAAAGUCCAUUCUGGGGUGCUCUUAAUUCAUUGGUCAUUGAGUUCUGAAUUUAUUGUUGUUACUAUUUUUUGUUUGUCCCAUAUGCCUGCUGACAUGGUGAGCAAGCAAUCUCAGUGCCAAGGUUGAGAGUGCUAUUCAUGGGUUAAUUUUGAGGGUUAAUCCAUAUUCCUAAUCAUACUAUGUCAUAAAAAGGCCCAGGAUUGAUAAAUUAAUGGUUUUCUGCUUUUCAGGUAUUAGAAGUUACACAAUGGACAGUUAAUAAUGUGUUCAUUUCUUAAAAAAUUGCAACGUUUUCGUAGUACAACAUUCCUUUCAAGAAAGACAACUAAAUCUUGGAACAAGAUAUCAUUCUGGAUGCUGAAAUAGUUUCAAACUUCAAACUACAUAUAGGAUUUGCAUCUCUUACUGUAGAAAUCCGUGUUAGUAAUGUGGAUCUUGCAGGAGAAAUACAACAUUCUAAUGUAAUAAUCUUGUUUGGUUCUAUCAUCAUGCUGAAGCUGGAACUAGGAGUAGAAUUCUUAUUAAAAAACAAGAUUGUAGUAAGACAUCCUAAUUUUAACAUACAGUCACGGGCUUGUCUAAUUUUGGAAAAAUUAAACUAUACAUUUCUUUUCAUAGGCAAACAAGAUUAUACAUUGAAAGGGCCUAACAAAAAAUGAGGCACAAUCCUAGUACACUUGGAGUAUAGAAAGAGCACAAACGCAAGCAAAAAAGCAAUAGAAAACACAAAAAAAAACCUAUAUAGCCUAAUCUUGACCCAAGCCUCAAUGAAAUCCAUCAAGGAAAGGUCAACUCCCCAAAGGAUCUUUUAGUCCAUUCAAAAAGACAUUUUCAGGAAAAUGACUUUCAACACUUGAUCUGGAUGUUUGUGCUCCUUUCAUAUACACCAAAACAAGCAAAGGGGGCCAAGUUCCACAUUCUUUGUUAUCUUUUCUGCAUUCAUGCUCUUUUCCAGCCUAAGAGAAGCAAUCUGACAGAUUUUUGCAAAUACCUACUGCAAGCCAAAUAUAGCUAGAACUAGGGAUUUGAUGCAUUGGAUAAGAGUAUGAAAUUCUAACUCCUUGACCCUACACAGACAACCUAUUAGCCAACAUCCAGCUCCUCUUCAUAAGCUGAUCAACUGCCAAAAUACUUUCCCAAACAGUUUCCCAUGGAAACAGCCAUGAAUGGGCCCUGUAAUUCCAGAUUUGCUUGAUUGGAAAGUCCUGGGAGAUUUCAGAAGUUAAGGAAUAAUAUAGUAAGACUUGACAGAAAGACUCCCAUUAUUCACCCCAGUCUGGCGCAAUCUCUCCUCUCCUAAACCACGGACACACAUUGUGUGAAUGUGCCAAAAAGUUCUUCUCGCUUCCCCACUCUCCCAAUUGUAAUAACCCCAAUGAAAGCAAAUGUUUCAACCUCUCCAACCCCCUCCACUCAAAGAUCCCCCUACUUUAGCAUUUCUUUUAGAAUGCAUUCUGAACAAGGAAGUUAAACUGAUCUUUCAACACAGAGUCACCAGUCCAUCUAACUAGACUUGGUUUUUGCCCCAGUCGCAAUAGAGAUGCUAGUCACGUGCCAAAACUCAUUCCACUCAUGUCUAAUAGCCUCCCAAAGACGCACUCCAAAAGCCUUUCCUAACUUGUUGGAUCUCCAACCACCCUCAAUCUCAUCAAAUUUGCCAUCAAUAACCUGUUUCCAAAGGAAAUGGUGCUUCCCAACCCCCAUUACCAUUUCCCAAGAAGAGCCUUGUUAAGGGUUGCUAGCCUUAUUACAUCAUGACCACCAUUAUUCUUUUCCUCAAUUUAUGGGUUCCUAUAAUAAUGAAAGAAACAGUGUGCUAUGGUUCAAUAAUGUUGCAGUCAUCCAUCUAGUAUUUUGUACUGCUAUCCUAUCAUUUUGUGUUGGGUUCGCUCCAAAAAAGGGUAUGUUUUAUGGAUUAGGCAUGCACCUUGUGAAAUGAUUAAUUAGCCUUUUUCCUUUUAUAAGGGUGGAUUUUGUUGUGGUUGUUUUGGGAAAGAAUUUGAGUUUGAAUGUUACAUUCACAUGCCCCAGUUUGGGGAGAAUAAAGUUUAACAAUUGUAGAUUGGAUUCAUCCUAAUUUUAUCUGUUUUCCCUUGCUAGCUAUUGGAGGUUUCAUCAUUGUUGAGAUGCUGUUUAGCUCUAGUCUUCUUGCCAUUGUUGGAGCUGGUGAGCAGGUGCUUGGUGGUCUACUGAUUUGUUGUGCUAGAUGGUGUAGCCCUUUUAUUAAAAGUACAUUUUCCUACUAACUUCUCUUAGUUUCUGAUUGAUCAUUUACCAUGGUUCCAUCUGACUCCACAGCUAUCUUUAUCCCCACGCCGUCUCUGUUUGUUCAACACUACAACUGGAGCUGCCCUCCAAGAACUAAAUUUUUCAACUGCUGUCCUUGCCAUUCGUCUAAAUUGGAAAAGGUAAAAACCACUUACCAUAUCUUGCUUGUUUUACUAUUUGUUUUCCCCAUAACAAUUGCUAUUUUAUGAAUUCAAAGCAAUACUUAGUGGUAUUUGUUUUUUUUUUAUUUAAUUCUAAAUAGAAUUUAAGAUUAAAUAAUGUUUAAUAGUGUUAAGUAUUAAGUUGUUUAUUUUUUUAAUAUUUUAUUUUUAUUAAGUAUUAAGAAGUAAAGAAAAAUCAGCUUAUUACUUUUAUCAUUAAAGAACAAGUCAAAUAUUUUAAUUUUUUUUUAUUUACUAAAAAAAAUUAAGAAAUAAGUAAUAAGUUAAUAAAAAGUAAGAAAAAAAAACAUCUAAAAUUUGAAAGCAACUUGUUUUUAACAAAAAGUUCAAAAAACAAACAGCAUCUUAGCUUUUUUUAUAUACAAAGACUUCAGUUUCACCCAAAAAUUGUCAUCUUGACAUGGGUGCAGGUGUGGGUGUGAGAUCUAUGUUUGACCGGCUUAGAUUGCAUUGUAUACAACUUUAAAUUUUUUUUAAUAUAAAUUUAUUUGCUUGUUUUAAAUAACACCAAUAAGUUAUUUGACUCUUAUCUCUAUUUUAAUUUAUUUUUAAAUUAUAAUAGAUAAUAGCAAUUAUUUAUUAUUUCAUAAAAAGAAAUUAUAAUAGAUAAUAACAAUUACCUUUUUUUCAUUCUAAAAAAUAUAUUAAAUUCAAACUAAUUUUAUCAAUUUAAAAUAACAAGAUUUAAAAAAUAUUUUUGCAUAGAAAUUAUACUUAAGUUGAAUUAUAUCAAUGUUAAAAUAUAUAAAAUUUUAAAAUAAAUUAGCUUCAAUUUAAAUAAUUAAAAAUAUAAAUUUUGAAAGUUUUCAAUAAGUUCACUUAAGAUCAACUAUAUAUUUUUCUAUAAGUUUCCAACAUUUAUUUAAAACUAAAAAAUUAAACUAAAAAAAAUUUGUUUAACAUUUUAUUAAACUAAAAAAUAUAUGAAAAUUAAUAACAUAUAAAAUUCAAAGAUAAUUUCAGUAACUAAAUAAUAAAAAAUAAAAAAAUGAAAUUUAAUAUAUUAAAAAUAAAGAGAGAAAUAAAAAAAAUUCAGUAAGUUUAAAUUAAAAUAAAAUACAUAUGAUAACUAUGAUAAUUAAUGUUUUAUCUAAGCAUGGAUCGGCACCCAUAAUUGAGAUCCUUUUAAGCUGAAUCCCUGUAUCUUAAAAUUUUGGGAUGCCAAGGAUUUGACACUUGGACAUAUACCCACACUUGACAUUCGUACCUGAACCCAUGUAACAUAGCUUAGUAAUUUCAGUUUGAAAUUUGAAGCUAAACUGUUUUUAGUUGUUACUUGGAACCGAAUUAAUAUUGUUAAGCCAACAUAUACCAAUUAUUGUCAAGCUUUUGUGCUGUUACUCUUGCCUUAGACAGUAGUAUAGCUUGUCUAGCUUUUGAUCAGACCUGUUUAUCAGAUUAUGCAAUUGGGAAAGGAUUUCUUCUUGUUUUUAUACUUACUAAUUUCAUGUCAAUGAUAGAUGUUUGUUUCUGCUAAAACAAAUAAAUCCAGUUUUUGUCACUUUUACACUGAGAAUUAACUUUUCAAUGAUGAAUAGAUAAGUCAUUGCUCUAAUUGUUCAUCCCUCUAGAUAGGGAUGCUAAAUUUGAAGAGUAGUUCCUUCUAGUAGUUUGACUUGUGCAAUAAAAAUUAGUGCAUAUCACUAGUUAAGAAUAUAUGGGAUAAGCUUGGUUCUAGGAGGAUUGCUUAUUCAUUUUUCUUCUUUUCAGAAUUCUUGCUGUGCUUCAUUAUUUUAGGUUUCCAGCUUUAACUUUUUUUUUUUUUUUUCCAAUUACUUUGAUAUUAUGAAUCAUCUGUAACAGCAGAAGUGGUCCUGGAUAGGAACCUUUAUGGAAAAUGAAUCAUUAUGGCAAUGAGUAGUAGAAUCUUUCAGAAGGUCCUCUUCUGUAAGCCUUGUCAAGACUUUGAAAAUGCACAAUAUAAAGAUCCUUGAGAAUACUAUCUGUUCUUUCUCAAGUGUUUAUUUAUUUAUUAUUUUUGUCUUGAUGCUAAGUAGUUUUUAAUUGAUUAGCUUAUGAUAUUGAUCUGAAACAAAAUAUGGCAAUGUUGACUGUUGUAUUUUGUUUCUUCAAGGAAACUGGUUGUGUAUUUUGUUGUGCUCUUUUUAGGUUUUUUUUCCCCCUAUAUAUGCAGGUUUAUUUAUUUAUUUAUUUAUUUGUCUUUUCUCAUUCACACAAUCAAGGAUCUGACUUUAGUCUUCACCUUUGGUCAUUCCAUCCCUCCCUGUGCCCCUGGGGGUAUAUUUUAUAUUUCUCCAUCUGGAAAGGUUCUUUUUAUUUAUUUUUUCUAUUUUAGAUAUAAGUUUUUCUAUUUGGGAGGAAUUUUAUCUAGCAUUAAAGUCUGAAUUUAGAAAAAAGGAAAAAGAAAACAUAUUGAAGGAAUGAGAGGACUCCAAAUCACACAGGAGAGAAGGGAACUCAACCCCUUUAGAUGAUCUUAUUUGAGAGUUAUCUGUCAUCCUAUGUUAACAUGGCUUUUACCUUUCCUUAGCCCUUCUUUUCCUUUGAAUCCCAUUUAUCUAAAAUGUACAUUAAAGAUGAAAGAGUAAAUUUUCCACUCUGUGAUCUCCUACAGAGGCUUUCUAAACUUGGUUUCAUUAGUUCACAAUGUCAACAGACCUCCCUUCCUUGUUCUUAUCAAUCACAUCUCUUGGGCUUUGACUAUGAAACUUGUGAAAUUAAAAAUGAGGGACAAUCUCACACCCUCUUAUCUUCCAAAACAAAUGAUUUUCUUCACCUAAACCAACCACCUAUUAAUCCUCCUCUUCCCUACUCCAACUGGCCCUUGAAAUCUGUGAACUUUCUGCCUCCAUAUUAACUUCAAAAUGGCUUUCCAGAGGUGUCAACCAUAGUGAGUCUCAACUUCAAUAUGUCCCUAUCCAAGAUUAUUAAUGUUGCGCUUUGCAAAAACCAUAAAAUUCCUCAAGUUAGUGCUCUCCUCAUACAAAUGCCAAGCUAUUUUUGUGAAUAUAUGAUCUUUUUGUUCCUUGUGUUUCAAAUAUUUCAACAUUUUGUGAACUUUAAACUUGUUCUGCCUUUUAUGUUAUUCUUUGCUGCCUCUGGAUAUAGUUUUGACAAUGGAAAACUUGGAACAGUUUGUGAGACACUUGGUAGGCCAUCAAAAUAUGGAUGCAUGUACAAAUAUUCCCUUGCAGUUUGAGCUGUAAGAUGUGUCAUCUCAUCUUGAGGUCAACUUAUUUUUGUUUUGUUAAGCAUCCAUGUGUUAGUGUGGACUCAUCUUUUCAACUACUGAAGUCUCUUGGAGUUUCUCCAUGACCUGGUUCUAGUUUCCCCCUUAGCUUGGAUUCAUUCUUUACCUUGUUGCCUAUCAACAAUUAUAGUCCACAUGCUAUAUCUCAAGUUUUUAUUUUCUCAAUGGAACUUGUCUGAUUUCAUAUAGCAUGGUUAAUCUGGUUGUUUGUUUUGUUUUGUUUCAUUUUUAUUCUAUUUUUAUUUUUAAUAUAAAUUUUCAAUUUGAGAGUAGAAUGUUGAGGAGUGUACAAAUCCAGCAUACAGAUUUAGUUUAUCCAUGUCUCUGAUCAUUUCCAAAUUGCAAGUGACCAAAAUCAUUCAAUAAAGAUAAAAUCCAUGAUUAGGACAUUUCAAUAAAAUUUUGCAACUUCUAGGAAUCUGGUUUGGCCCAUUGUACAUCAUUAUUCUCUCAGUAUCAUACUUCUAUUCUUUUUCCACUCUCGUUCAUAUUGAUAUACUAUGUAAAUGCAGACUUGUUGUAGUGUUGCAAGAAAAGACAUACAUUUAUGAUCUAAAUAGCCUCUCUAUCUUGGACACUAUAGAUACUGUGCCGAAUUCAAAAGGUGAGGGUAGAACAUCUUGUAAGGUUAUAAAAUAAAUUUAUAACACAUACAGCGGAAAAUUGAUCUAUUUUGCAUUCAAAAUAUAUACUGCAGCUAUCAAAAACUUUAAAAUAAUAACCUGGAUAUCAGUUCUUCAAGCAUAAAAUUUUCUCCAAUUGUAUGAAGACUUUACGUGUAUCCACACCGAAAUUAAUCUUUGCUAUCAACCCUUUGAUACGCGGAACUUAAUAAAAAAAAUAGAACAACACUUUUAUUUCUUUGGCGUAAAAACAAGGAGGAUAAAGAUAGAUCGAUCCUUAUUCAGAUUGUGUAUGUAUGCUAUAUAGCAUAUCCGAUACAACUUCUGUUUUAAGUGAUAAGAUAACUCAACUAAUUUGAUUUUUGAUUUUAUCACUUAAUCUAUCUCUAUCGUGUCUUCCUUCUUUUUUGGGCUACUAAGAGAUUCUAUUGGUCCAUUUGUUUUUCUUUUGCUAUUUUCAAUAGCAUUUGAAAAACACUUUGACCAAGUCUUGUAAGUUAAAAACAAAACCCACAUCCCUCCUGUAAGUUGCUGCAUGUACCCAUAUGUUUGCAAAUGUUUAGCAAACAUUCUCGUGGACUAACUUCCACAUCCAAAGAAAAAUAUUUUAUUUUUUUUAUCUAUAUAUUAAUUAUAUUCUUGGUGCUAACAAAGAAUAUAAUAAUAUUCCACAUAGAACAUAUUUAUUUAUUUGAUUAAAAUUAAAUUCUCUAAUUUAAUUAUCAAAUAAUAAUAAAUAGCUCUUUGCAAAGAUUAAAACACUCGUUUGUGUGUGACCCCGUAGGUUCAUUACUAAGCUGGUAGUAAAUUAAUCAAAUCAAUUUACUAAUUAAGGUAGGCGUCUAGCAACACUCCUUAACGUCCAGAUAGUAUGAAGUAAUAUCUUUUACUUUCAAGAACCGGUAGAAGAAUAAUGUAAUAUUUCCUUCCAUCAUUUACAGCUCUGGGCUAACUCUAGAGUAUGGUAUUACUAUCAAACUCUAAUAAGUCAACACAUUAUUUAUUUAGUGAAUGACUUAAGAAACUCAUUUCUUCAUUCAUUCAAUUGCCCUUGGCCAAGGUCUUAUUUUUAUCAUAGAGCUCAAACUCAUUACCACGAGUUGAUGGAUUCCUUCUUGAUUAAUCAUUAAUUCUACAAGUAUUUAAUUAUAUCCAAUAUCCAUUCAACUAGUGCCCUAAGGCAUUAGGUGUCCGGGAUUAAAAUAUAAUAAAUAACUUGUUAAUUACUUUGAUAAUCUCAAGUCAAAGAAAACUAUUAUAUUUCUUCUUGAGAAAUUCCUAUUGACAAUUUAAGGUAAAGAUAACCAUUAGAAAUUCUCAGUUGAGUCAGUUCAAUGAUCACAUCUACAUGUGCAUCAUCUAUAUAUGUAAUUUAACAAAUGAGAUAUAUCAAUCUUUAUCCAAUAAAGACCAUCACAUAUAUAUUGAUCUAUCUGGAUUAUUGAUGUCCUGUUGACAAUAAUCCUAUGAUCAAGAACAGUUUAGAUUAAAAUUAUUAAAAGAAUUGCUUCCCAUUAUCAUAAUCUCUAUCAUGAUAACAAUUUUCAAAUUUUAAUCAAGGACCUUAUCAUAUAAACUAUUUUAAACAGAUAUGAUAAUGAAAUAAAGAAUUAAUACCUUAUUAAAACUAAAGUUGAUUACAUGAUAGAUUGGAUCUUGGGCAUACAUUUAUCCCCAACACAUCUUAUAGAAUUUUUUCAAUAUUUAAAUAUUCAGAAUACCUGGGCUAUCAACCAAUUGUAGAGCUGUUUUUUCUCCUCAUGUAAUGAUAUCUAUCUAGUGUCCAAAUAUAGCAAGCAACCUGUCGUUUAUGCUUUUAUACAUGUAUGCUAUGCAUUUACAGUUGUUUAGGUUGUUUUCCAUGUAGAUUUCACAUGAUGUGUUCUUCAUUUCAGUUGCUGGAUUUUUUAUUAUAUAACUCGAUGUAUUGUCCUAUAUAUAGCAAAGUAAUGGACAUAUGUGUUUAAGAGCUUCCUGGUUAGCUCUACUUUUAUUGAUUGAUUAACUUCCUAUGGUACAAGACCAAGUAAGCAUGGUUGCAUGAGUUGAGGGAAAUCCAUGAAGGGUAUUAAUAAGAUAAUUUAGUGAAGGAAUUGAAAAGUUUAAUAUACCUGCAAUUUGAUGACUGCAGUCAUAAAGUUGUAUGAAAUUUGGAAGAUAGACACAGGAAAAUGCAUGGUUUUCCACAGAAAGGUUCUAAAAAAUCAUUUUGUGUUUUAGGUGUAGGGACCCCUCCCCCUGAUGACACAUGGCGCGCAUCGCUAUCCGGAGCAACUCCAUCCGGACUCCCCAAGAGAACACGUGGCACACUCCCCUAUCCGGACUCCCCAGGGGAGGCACACGGCACUCGCAAACAUCAUGUCCGAAUGAUAGCAUAUCCUAUCCGGAUAUGCUGUUUGGAUCAUUGACUGAAGUAAGCAAGCCUUGCUAAGUCAUCCCCGACAGCCUGCCAUAGCCCACGUUCCGCCGCCUGCAGAGCGAAAGGACAGGAGCGAUGGCAAUUAGCCUCCCACGAUCUUUGACAGCCACCUGCAAGGUGAUGAUGGCUCUGCCACCACUUUGAGGGCAUCAUGAUGAGCCAAAAAGUCUUCCCACCAUUAAAGAGGGAGGCAGAGCUUCUGACACUAUAUAAAAGGACCUUCACACAAGGAAGAAGGUAAGCUUACUAUCCCUAUAUAAAAGGACCUUCACACAAGGAAGAAGGUAAGCUUACUAUCCCUGAAAAAGGCCGACAGCUUAAUCUCUUGAGCCAUGGCUAACAAAACCAUCGGAGGGUGUGUCCGGACAUCCUGUCCGGACAUCUUUUGCAAGGAGACUAAACCAGAACUCAAUCUUGGUUGAAAGCAUGCGUCUACUUGGCAGCUACGUGGAUCAUUGGGACGCAAGGCAUCAACAUUGGCGCCAUCUGUGGGAAUCCUCUGAUUCAGUCGACGGCAAAGAUGUCCACACCUUCCAAAAGCCGCUCGUCGGCUAGGGGAAACGAAGAUUAUUUCGACUAGCGCCAAGCCAUUGAGAGAAGACAGUUAGAAAGUGAGCGACAAAUGCAAGCUCUCCUCCAGGAAACAGCGAGACUGAGGGAAGAAAACGUUGUGUUGCGAAUUCAGGCUUCAUCGACGGGGCCUCCUCGUGGUCAGAGCUCGAGAGACCAAGAAGUAAACUCAAGGCUUGACCCAGAGUCAAUAUACCCUGGGACUGCGGGGGCCGUCCCUGAGACGGGCUAUGUUAGACCACAAGAGCGACACACGCCCAUGCACCAAGCCCCCCAGAAGGAAAGCUCAGACUCUACUCGUCUCUCAGCAAAGAGACAACGCAACAAAAGACCCCAGUUGUCAAACGCUAUGCAUGCGAGGCUAGGCCCACAGGAGCCUGGAAGGCCAAGGCCGCCAGUAGCCGCGACCUGGGAAGCGCACCCUGACCCUCUGGUCACUCUCAUGGUGCAGAACGUUCCCCCGCACUAAGCGGUAUGACAAGCUGGGAGAAACCCCCCAAACGAGCCACACACUGGCUCCAUCAGCAAAAGGCUGGACGACAUGCUCUCCACGCCUUUUUGCUCUCAUAUUAUUCAUUACGACCCCCCAAGGGGAUUCCUCGUGUCUAAAUUUUCCACGUAUGAUGGGUCCAGCGACACCUUCGACCAUAUCAUACAUUAUUGACAACUCAUGACUCUCGAUAUAGGAAACGACACGCUGCUAUGCAAAGUAUUCCCCGCCAGCCUACAAGGGCAGGCCCUCUCAUGGUUUCACCGCCUGCCUCCCAACUCUAUUGAUAAUUUCAAGGACCUGUCGGAAGCUUUCGUGGGACAAUACUUAUGCUCCGCUCGGCAUAAACAGAACAUCAGCACUCUGCAAAACAUAAAAUGUAGGAGAACGAGUCUUUGAGAGAAUUCGUGAAGCGGUUUGGUCAGGUCAUGUUACAAGUAGAGGCUUACAGCAUGGAUGUUGUCCUACAGAUCUUCAAGCGAAGCAUCUGUCCAGGCACCCCAUUCUUCGAAUAGCUAGCUAAGAAGCCUCCUACGACGAUGGACGACUUGUUCCGGCGCGCGAGCAAAUACUCAAUGCUCGAAAAUGACGUGCAAGCAACCACCCAGCAAAUCCUAGUUGCCGGACAGGCAUCCAAAAGUGAUGCGGAAAGAAGUGCCAAACUUUCGGACCGGCCAAGGUCGUCCGAUCGAAGGCAAGAAGAACAAAACCACCCAGAACUGCUGCCCCUCACACCCCUUUCCAUAUCUUAUGAGAAGUUUCUCUCUAUGAUCCAAGACAUGUUCGACUUCAGGUGGCCUGGACCCCUCAGAGCGGACCCAUCCAAAAGGGAUCAUAGUAAAAAAUGUGUCUACCAUAAGGAGCAUGGUCACACAACUGAAACGUGCAGGAGCCUCCAUUAUUUGGUCAAAAAGCUCACAAGGGCGGGACAUUUGAAGCAAUACAUCCGCUCAGAUGCCAGAGGUAGAGACGCUUCCCAAAAUCACAACUCUAGAACCCCCAGGGUUCCAACCGCCCCCAAAGCCAUUAUAAACUAUAUCAAUGGAGGCCCAUUAGACGAGGAAUACGACUCCAAAAGAAAGAGACAGAGAUUGUUGCGGGCAGCAUCGGUGCGUGAGCGCGUCAACUCCAUACGGUUUGGGAUAACUGGAAGGGAGGGGCCUCGCCCCAUAGAUGGGACAAUCAUUUUCCCACUAGUAGACCCCACACGGAUAUUGCAGCAGCACUGCAACGCCCUCAUCCUGUCCCUGGAGAUGGGAGACUGUCAACGUACUACCAGUCCAAGCUGGCCCAGUCACUCUCAACGUACAAUUUUCGGUGGUACAAGAUUUAUCACCCUUCAAUGUCAUCUUGGGGCGCACAUGGCUGCACUACAUGAAAGCCAUCCUCUCUACGUAUCAUCAAAUGGUAAGUUUUCUUACCGAGGAAGGGCAAAUCGACCUAUACGGCAGCCAGUUAGUCGCUCGCUAAUGCUAUCAAAUAGCACGAGAAGUAAGGACUAGCCAGGAGGAUAAACCCCUCCUUGAGUCCACCCACGCACUUGACCAAUAGCAAUUACUUAGUCCGGCGGACAAAGAUCCCCCGACAGUGGAUCCCUUGCAGACGAUCCAAAUUUCGGAAGAAGAUACUCACCUUACAUAUAUCAGUUCCCUCUUGACACUUGAAGAGACCCGGAACAUCCAAAACGCCCUCCGACAAAGCCAUGACGUCUUCGCAUGUGCGCAUUCUGAUAUGAAGGGAAUUCACCCCUCCAUUGUUUCUCAUAGGCUUAACGUCUUGCCAACAGCAAGGCUUGUCCGAUAGAGGGUUAGACGUUUUCACCCGGACAGCCAAAAGAUUAUCAGGGAUGAGAUUGACAAGUUGCUGGAAGCCGGAUUCAUUAGAGAAGUGGAGUAUCCGGACUGGUUGGCAAAUGUAGUAGUGGUACCCAAAAAGGAAGGCAAAUGGCGGGUGUGCGUCGAUUACACCAACCUCAAUAAUGCAUGCCCAAAAGACAGUUUCCCUUUGCCACGGAUAGACCAAAUUGUGGACUCCACUGUUGGGCAAGGAAUGCUCUCCUUCUUGGACGCCUUCUCCGGAUACCACCAAAUCCCCAUGGCCCCAGCCAACGAAGAGAAGACAGCCUUCAUAACGCCACACGGUCUUUAUUGCUACAAAGCCAUGUCGUUCGGACUCAAAAACGUUGGAGCCACUUAUCAGAGACUGAUGACGAAUAUCUUCAAACCUUUGGUCAACCGCAUAGUGGAGGUAUAUAUUGACGAUAUCGUGUUUUAAAGCAAAACCCAAGAGGAACAUGCCUUCCACUUGCAAGAAGUCUUCCACCUCUUAAGGAAGUAUGACAUGAAAUUGAAUCCUUCUAAAUGCGUCUUUGGCGUAAGUGUUGGAAAAUUCUUGGGAUUUAUGGUCAGCCAAAGAGAGAUAAAGGUUAGCCCGAAUCAAGUUAAGGCAUUCAUGGAAACACCACCCCCCAAGAGCAAAAAGGAAUUACAGCGCCUCACAAACAAGCUCGUCGCAUUAGGACGCUUUAUAGCCCGCUUCACUGAUGAACUACGACCCUUCUUCUUGGCAAUAUGAAAAGCUGGAGCGAAUGGAUGGACGGACAGCUGUCAGAGCGCUUUCGAAAAAAUUAAACAUUGCCUCAUGCAACCGCCCAUUCUAAGCAGCCCCCUCCCUGGAGAAAAAUUGUAUAUGUACCUGGCUGUAUCGGAGUGGGCAAUUAGCGCUGUUCUAUUUCGCUGCCUCUCGCGCAAGGAGGAGAAACCUAUUUACUACGUUAGCAGAGCGUUGGCGGACGUAGAAACAAGGUAUUCAAAGAUGGAGCUAACGGCCUUAGCCCUUCGAAGUGCAGCCCAGAAGCUCUGCCCUUACUUCCAAGCCCAUCCGGUGGUCGUUCUAACUGACCAGCCCCUUUGCAACAUCCUGCACAAGCCGGACCUAACCGGAAGAAUGCUUCAAUGGGCCAUAGAGUUGAGUGAAUAUGGAAUCGAGUUCCAACCCAGGUUGUCCAUGAAAGGCCAAGUGAUGGCUGACUUCAUGCUGGAAUACUCCCGAAGAUCUACCUAGCGCAAGGAACCAAGCGGAGAGGAGUGGUGGACUUUGUAGGUUGAUGGAGCCUUGUUGGGCUUUGUGGAGCCUAGUUUUGUUUGAUCUGGUUUGACGACCCGACCCGAAUAAUAUUGCAUGGCUUUUUUAAUGGGAGAUUUAUUGAGGCCUGUUGGGCCCGUUUAGCCCAUUGUGGAACCAGCUUUUGUAAUUAGGGUUUUUUAGUAUGGUAGGGUUGUCGUGCUAUAUAUAUAUAGAGAAUAUUGUAGCCGCUCAGUUGUACUCUGUAUUCUUCCCUGAUAAUAGUGAUAUCCCUGCAACUCCGUGAACGUAGGCAAAUUGCCGAACCACGUAAAUACUGUCUUGUGCGUGAGAUUGUUUUUCUUUGGCGUGUGUUUUCUCUAAUUUUUGUUUCUCACGGGUUGGGAAUUCGGUUUAAUUCCCUACAACUGGUAUCAGAGCCUAGGGUUAGGUUUGAGUGGGAGCAAUGGUAGAGGAAGCAGGAAAGGCGUCUGGAAUAGAAAAGUUUGAUGGCACAGACUUUGCGUAUUGGAGGAUGCAGAUUGAAGAUUAUCUCUAUGGGAGGAAAUUGCAUCUGCCUCUUUUAGGGACAAAACCUGAGAGUAUGAAGGCUGAGGAAUGGGCGCUUCUUGACAGACAGGUUCUAGGAGUUAUUAGGUUAACUCUGUCUAGGUCUGUUGCACACAAUGUUGUAAAGGAGAAGACCACAGCAGAUUUGAUGAAGGCUUUGUCCGGUAUGUAUGAAAAGCCAUCCGCAAACAAUAAGGUGCAUCUGAUGAAGAAAUUGUUCAAUUUGAAGAUGGCAGAGAAUGCAUCAGUAGCACAACAUCUGAAUGAAUGUAAUACAAUCACAAAUCAAUUGUCGUCUGUAGAAAUUGAUUUUGAUGAUGAGAUUCGUGCUCUGAUUGUCUUGGCUUCUUUGCCAAACAGUUGGGAGGCAAUGAGGAUGGCAGUAAGCAAUUCUACAGGAAAGGAAAAGCUCAAGUACAAUGAUAUACGAGAUUUAAUUCUGGCUGAGGAGAUUCGCCGAAGAGAUGCAGGUGAAACCUCAGGAUCUGGUUCUGCCCUAAACCUUGAGACAAGAGGCAGAGGUAAUAACAGAAAUUCAAAUCAGGGUAGAUCAAAUUCCAGAAAUUCUAAUCGGAACAGAAGCAAAUCUAGAUCAGGCCAACAAGUACAAUGUUGGAAUUGUGGGAAAACAGGUCACUUUAAAAGGCAAUGCAAAAGCCCUAAGAAGAAGAAUGAAGAUGAUUCUGCUAAUGCUGUAACAGAAGAGGUACAGGAUGCAUUACUUCUUGCAGUAGACAGUCCACUUGAUGAUUGGGUUUUGGAUUCAGGAGCUUCGUUUCAUACCACUCCACACCGAGAAAUCAUACAGAAUUAUGUUGCAGGUGAUUUUGGUAAGGUAUAUUUGGCUGAUGGUUCAGCCUUGGAUGUUGUGGGUCUGGGAGACGUCCGGAUAUCAUUGCCCAAUGGGUCUGUUUGGUUACUGGAGAAGGUUCGACAUAUUCCUGACCUGAAGAGGAAUCUGAUUUCUGUUGGACAACUUGAUGAUGAAGGACAUGCAAUACUAUUUGUUGGUGGUACUUGGAAGGUUACAAAGGGAGCUAGGGUAUUGGCUCAUGGAAAGAAGACUGGCACUCUGUAUAUGACCUCAUGUCCAAGAGACACAAUUGCAGUUGCUGAUGCAAGUACUGAUACAAGCCUAUGGCACCGCAGACUUGGUCACAUGAGUGAGAAAGGAAUGAAGAUGUUGCUGUCAAAAGGAAAACUACCAGAAUUGAAGUCCAUUGAUUUUGACAUGUGUGAAAGUUGCAUCUUAGGAAAGCAAAAAAAGGUGAGCUUCUUGAAAACUGGCAGGACACCGAAGGCUGAAAAAUUGGAACUAGUACACACUGAUUUGUGGGGGCCUUCUCCGGUUGCAUCCCUAGGAGGUUCAAGGUACUACAUCACCUUUAUUGAUGACUCAAGUAGAAAGGUAUGGGUUUAUUUUCUGAAAAAUAAAUCUGAUGUAUUUGUAACUUUUAAGAAGUGGAAGGUCAUGGUUGAGACAGAAACAGGUUUGAAAGUAAAAUGUUUGAGGUCAGAUAAUGGAGGAGAGUACAUAGAUGGAGGAUUCAGUGAGUAUUGUGCUGCACAGGGAAUUAGGAUGGAGAAGACCAUUCCUGGGACACCACAGCAGAAUGGUGUGGCUGAGCGCAUGAAUAGAACUCUCAAUGAGUGUGCUAGAAGUAUGAGGUUGCAUGCUGGACUACCAAAAACUUUUUGGGCUGAUGCUGUUAGCACUGCAGCUUACCUGAUAAACCGAGGACCAUCAGUUCCCAUGGAGUUCAGACUUCCUGAGGAGGUUUGGAGCGGUAAAGAGGUGAAGUUUUCACAUUUAAAAGUUUUUGGUUGUGUUUCUUAUGUUCAUAUUGAUUCUGAUGCUCGUAGUAAACUUGAUGCAAAGUCAAAAAUAUGUUUUUUCAUUGGCUAUGGUGAUGAGAAAUUUGGCUAUAGGUUUUGGGAUGAACAAAACAGGAAAAUCAUCAGAAGUAGAAAUGUGAUAUUUAAUGAACAGGUUAUGUACAAGGAUAGGUCAACUGUAACGUCAGAUGUUACAGAGAUAGAUCAAAAGAAAUCUGAGUUUGUCAACUUAGAUGAAUUGACUGAAAGUACUGUCCAAAAAGGGGGUGAAGAAGAUAAGGAGAAUGUAAAUUCACAGGUAGAUCUGAGUACACCUAUAGUUGAAGUUCGCAGAUCUUCUAGGAACACUAGACCUCCGCAGCGUUAUUCACCUGUUUUAAAUUAUCUCCUGUUGACUGAUGGUGGUGAGCCAGAGUGUUAUGAUGAAGCCUUGCAAGAUGAGAAUUCAAGCAAGUGGGAGUUAGCCAUGAAGGAUGAGAUGGAUUCCCUGUUGGGGAAUCAGACAUGGCAACUGACUGAAUUGCCAGUAGGAAAGAAGGCUUUGCACAACAAGUGGGUAUACAGAAUAAAGAAUGAGCAUGAUGGUAGCAAACGUUACAAGGCCAGAUUAGUUGUUAAAGGGUUCCAGCAGAAGGAGGGCAUUGACUACACAGAGAUAUUUUCUCCAGUUGUGAAGAUGUCAACAAUUAGACUUGUACUUGGAAUGGUGGCCGCAGAAAACUUACAUCUUGAGCAGUUAGAUGUGAAGACAGCAUUCCUUCAUGGUGACUUGGAGGAAGACCUUUACAUGAUUCAGCCAGAAGGGUUCAUUGUUCAGGGACAAGAGAAUCUAGUCUGCAAACUGAGAAAGAGCUUGUAUGGCCUUAAACAAGCUCCUAGACAGUGGUACAAGAAGUUUGACAAUUUUAUGCAUAGAAUUGGGUUCAAGAGAUGUGAAUCUGAUCAUUGUUGCUAUGUUAAGUCCUUUGACAACUCUUACAUCAUAUUACUGUUGUAUGUGGAUGAUAUGCUUAUUGUAGGGUCUGACAUUGAGAAGAUUAAUAAUCUGAAGAAGCAAUUGUCCAAACAGUUUGCAAUGAAGGAUUUGGGAGCUGCAAAGCAAAUCCUUGGUAUGAGAAUCAUUAGAGAUAAGGCUAAUGGUACAUUGAAGCUUUCACAGUCAGAGUAUGUGAAGAAAGUUCUCAGCAGGUUCAACAUGAAUGAAGCUAAACCAGUGAGCACACCCUUGGGUAGUCAUUUCAAACUAAGCAAAGAACAGUCACCAAAGACAGAAGAAGAAAGGGACCAUAUGAGCAAGGUGCCCUAUGCCUCAGCUAUUGGCAGCUUGAUGUAUGCUAUGGUGUGUACAAGACCAGACAUUGCACAUGCAGUGGGAGUUGUGAGCAGAUUCAUGAGUAGGCCAGGAAAGCAGCAUUGGGAGGCAGUCAAGUGGAUUUUAAGAUAUCUGAAGGGUUCAUUAGAUACAUGUCUUUGCUUCACAGGUGCAAGUUUGAAACUGCAGGGUUAUGUAGAUGCUAAUUUUGCUGGUAAUAUUGAUAGUAGAAAGAGUACUACUGGGUUUGUUUUUACUCUAGGUGGUACAGCUAUAUCAUGGACUUCAAAUCUACAGAAGAUUGUUACUUUGUCUACUACAGAAGCUGAGUAUGUUGCAGCAACUGAAGCUGGAAAGGAGAUGAUUUGGCUACAUGGUUUCUUAGAUGAAUUGGGUAAGAAGCAGGAGAUGGGCAUUCUACACAGUGACAGUCAGAGUGCAAUUUUUCUUGCCAAAAAUUCGGCUUUUCAUUCAAAGUCGAAACAUAUACAAACAAAAUACCACUUUAUCCGUUAUCUUGUUGAGGAUAAACUGGUAAUACUUGAGAAGAUUUGUGGAUCUAAGAACCCUGCAGACAUGUUGACUAAGGGUGUCACUAUUGAGAAGUUGAAGCUGUGCGCAGCUUCAAUUGGUCUUCUAGCUUGAGGACAGGAGGAUGAGUUGUAGGGAUGAGGGAUCGUUUCUUGGAGGAUAGCGGUUUGAUGUUGGUGAUUGGACUAGUCUCCAAGUGGGAGAUUUGUUGGGCUUUGUGGAGCCUAGUUUUGUUUGAUCUGGUUUGACGACCCGACCCGAAUAAUAUUGCAUGGCUUUUUUAAUGGGAGAUUUAUUGAGGCCUGUUGGGCCCGUUUAGCCCAUUGUGGAACCAGCUUUUGUAAUUAGGGUUUUUUAGUAUGGUAGGGUUGCCGUGCUAUAUAUAUAUAUAGAGAAUAUUGUAGCCGCUCAGUUGUACUCUGUAUUCUUCCCUGAUAAUAGUGAUAUCCCUGCAACUCCGUGGACGUAGGCAAAUUGCCGAACCACGUAAAUACUGUCUUGUGCGUGAGAUUGUUUUUCUUUGGCGUGUGUUUUCUCUAAUUUUUGUUUCUCACGGGUUGGGAAUUCGGUUUAAUUCCCUACAAGCCUCCUGGUCAUCAGGAUCCGGGGUAGGACUCCUGCUGCAAUCCCCAACAAGAGAACAUCUGGAGCAAGCUAUCCGACUGGGGUUCCCUGUGUCUAAUAAUGAAGCUGAGUAUGAGGUCAUCCUAUCUGGGUUGGAUCUCGCCCUAGCUCUAUCCGUCUCCAGGCUCUGGGUCUAUAAUGAUUCCCAAUUCGUGGUAAGGCACGUCCAGAAGGAAUACGAAGCUAAGGAUGAGCGCAUGGCACGAUAUCUGACUAAAGUAAGGGACACCUUACAACCGUUCACUGAAUGAACGAUCAAAAAAAUUAAACGAACUGAAAAUGGACGUGCCGACGCCCUGGCAGGCAUAGUCGCUUCCCUCCCCAUCAAAGAAGUCAUACUAUUGCCUGUAUAUGUGCAAACCAACCCCUCUAUCACGGAAACCUCCACUUGCAAUACCAUUGAGGCAAACUAAGCAGAUGGCCAAGAGUGGGCGGGGGAUAUUAUAAGGUAUCUCUGGAUGGGCACUUUGCCCGAAGAGCCCAAGCAAGCACACAAGACCCGGGUAGAAGCCGCUCGUUUCACCCUGAUCGGGGGGCACUUAUACAAGCGGUCCUUUACAAACCCCUACCUAUGGUGCCUAAACCACUCAAAGGCCCUGUAUGUCUUGGCUGAAUUACAUGAGGAGGUGUGUGGAAACCAUUCCGGAGGUCAAUCUCUAGCGCACCGGGCCCAUUCGCAAAGGUAUUACUAGCCCACAAUGAAAAAUGAUGCGGCAGCCUAUGUCAAAAAAUGUGACAAGUGUCAAAGGCAUGUCCUCAUACCACAUGUGCCGUCGGAGACGUUAAAACCAAUUUCAUGCCCCUGGCCCUUCGCGCAGUGGGACAUGGACAUAGUAGGACCCUUACCAGCCGCAGCUGCCCAGAAAAAUUUCCUACUCGUCGCCACGGAUUACUUUAGUAAAUGGGUGGAAGCUGAAGCAUACGCUAGCAUCAAAGACAAAGAUGUCACCAAGUUCGUAUGGAAGAACAUCAUCUGCCGCUUUGGAAUCCCCCAAACCAUUAUAGCUGACAACGGUCCACAGUUUGAUAGCAUCACUUUCUGAAAUUUCUGUUCGGAACUAAACAUCCGGAAUUCAUACUCCACACCGCGUUAUCCUCAAAGCAAUGGGCAAGCAAAAGCCACAAACAAGACCCUAAUAACUGCCUUAAAGAAGAGGCUCGAGCAAGCCAAAGGGAAGUGGGUGGAGGAGCUACCCGGCGUCCUGUGGGCUUAUCGAACCACACCAGGACGACCGACAAGAAAUACUCUCUUCACCCUCGCAUAUGGUAUGGACGCAAUCAUUCCUACAUAAAUAGGGCUACCCACUAUCCGGACCGAGGCAGACGAAGAAAUUUGGACUGGGCAGACGAAGUAAGAGAGACCGCAUCUAUCCAGAUGGCCGACUAUCAACAAAAGGCAGCCGCUCACUACAACCGCAAGGCAAAGCCUAGGAGCUUCAAAAGUGGAACGUUGGUCCUUAGGAAGGUUUUCGAAAACACUGCUGAGACAGGAGCAGGAAAGUUUCAAGCCAAUUGGGAAGACCCCUAUAUAGUGUCCAAGACAAGUGAAAAUGGAUCCUAUCAUCUACAGAAGCUAGACGAAACCCCAUUGCUCCGACCAUGGAAUGUAUCCAAUCUUAAGCAAUAUUAUCAAUGAAAGCAGAUGAAGAAUAAGCAAGAAAGACAAAUUGUCUUUACAAAAAGCCGCCUUAUACGCAGCAAAACAGAAAAAAAAAGGUGUAAAGUCUGCACAAAGAAGAAAUCUCAGUUGGACGGGCCCCUGGGCGUCUCGUCAUCCUCAUUAGAAGGAAAUGAGGGAGUAUCAUGCAUGAUUUCGUUUUUCUUCAUACAGCAGCGGUAACCAAAGAAGUACAUUUCAUCCGCCUGCUGCUAGUAUUCCUCCUCCAGCUCCUUAUUCUGUGCGGCGAAGCUAGCCUCCAUCUCCUUCUUUUGAGCCGCCAUACCCGCCCGCAAAUCCUCUGACUCCUUCUUCUAGGCGGCGAGGCUAGCUCGGAGUUCUUCCAUCUCUCUUUUUAAUUGAAGGUUUUCCUGCCCAGCUUCAUUGACUUGGCCCUCCAAGGCUUUUUUUUUUUUUCUUAGACUAUCAGCUUCAGCCCGGAUAGCCUCCCUUUCCCCCUCCACCCGGCAUAGCCGCUCCGCCCCAUCCGAUACCGCUUCCUGCGCAGAAGCCAGCUCGGCUUCAAUCUUCUCCAACUGGGCGCGCAACUUAUCAACGCCACCCGGAGGCUGGGAGAUAAAGGCAUGCAUGGCCUCCUCCACCUUCAGUCGCUCGAAAAGCUGCUCGUGCAAACGCAUCAUGUAGCGGAUGUCGGACAUAACCUGGGUAAAACAACAACAAAACAGUAGACAAAAUUACAUGAAAAAGUAGUAACUGUUAAAAAAACAAGAGAAAAACAGCAAAAAAGUAUUUACCACUUCUGCGGCCUCUGGCAUCGUCCAUUCCUGUAGGUGUUAUACGGAAGGCACAGCGGACUUAGAAAUACCAAGAGGAUGUCGCGCUUCUGUGUCUGUGAAGCAUGGCACCCCCUUCAGCAUAUCCAUCAGUUCCUCCCAGCUUGGAGGAACUGCUGUAGGAUAACUGCUCCUCUCGACUUGAGCCUUCUCACCGUUCGGUGCCUCCGGAGCCCCCUCUAGCAUAAGGAUCCCCACCACAACAGGGGAGCUACGCCCCGGACCAUCGGCAUGAACCAUAGCCGCUGUGCUGGACCCUACGGCAUCUAGAGGAACUGGGGCACUCGCGCUCGCACCAUCCCUAUCCGGACGACUCGUAGCUGGAGCCGGAACCUCGGGCGUUGAAGCCUCCCCACCCUGAUCCAAACAAACUUUCUUAGCUGGGGGAGGCCCGAGGUCGAUGGGGACAUGCAACCUUUUGCCAUGUCUUUGCAUCAACCUCUCCCUAAUCUCGCUUGGGCUCCUCAUCUCCUCUGGCUUGUCCGCGACUGGCAAACCAACAGAUUCCAGCUUAGGCUGGGGAGAGCUAGGGCCCGGGUGGAAGACUACAAGCUGGAGGAAACUAGAAGUAGCCUCAGGUUCCUCGGCCUCGUCAGAUUCUAGGAUAGUAUGGUCCGGACAGCUGGGUUCGGACCUACAAGACGAAGACGAAGCCUCAAGAUUGGGGGCUGUAAUCCAAAGUACCUGCGAAAGUGUCUUCUUCGUCUUCUGUUUUUUCUUCUUUUCCUUUCUGGCCGGGGGACGAGCCACUAGAGGAGAGUCGCGUCCCUUCUCACCAGGUGUUUUCCUCAGCGUCCCCUCCUGCCUCUUUUCCUUUCGCUCGUCAAGGAGCUUCUGGCGCGCCUUUGCGUCAGGCUUGCGGGCCCUCUCAUAGAAGGGCAAAUCCUUCAAUAUAAAGUGUUCCCCAGGCACUACCUGUUUUGGAAACCGCCUAGGGAGAAUGUUGGUUACGUACGCUUGGGGCUCCCGAACAAUGGCCAGCAAGUUUCGUGCAGUAAGCAGCGUCUGAUGAUGCCUCUUAACUGCAGUAAUCUCGAAUAACUUGUUCAAUCGGUCGAAGGACGCUUCGACUACGCGACCCCUCUUGUUCAUACCUGCAUUAUUAGCAACCAAAGAUGUUAGCCAUCUAAUAACCCCAAAAUAAGAAGAACAACAGACGAACGCCGAACAAACCCCACAAGCUGCCCUACCCGGAAGCACCAGCAAACUGUUUGGGGAAAACGGUCUCUCCGGAUGCUCCAAUAGCCCAGCCCAGACACCCGGACUAAUACACACCCCUUGGCUCCCCCCUUCGUUGAAUCCGGAAGAUGAGUCACCAAUUGGAGGGAAGGCAUGUAGGCAGCCAGGCUGAAGAGGUCAGUUCCCCCCUUCUUUAUGGAGUAUAUGAAAAGGACCUCCAAUAGUGAAAAGUCCAGGUUGAACAGCAUGCUCAGAAUGCUGCACCCCAUCAGCACCCGGACUAUGUUGGGAUGGAUGUAAGUCGGGGGGAUCUGGGUGGAGUGAAGAAAUUCUUUGAACAAGGAAGGGAGGGGAAACCGGAGCCCAACAUUGAAUUGCUCCUUGGUGAAGUAGAUAGCGUUGUCUGCAGAUUUCUCAGUGGAUACCGCCUCUCCAUCCACAAGCUGAAUGGACACACCAUUCGGAAUGCAGAAGCGCUCACAGAAUUGCCUCACAUUCAGCUUGUCAACAGAUUUUUUCGCAUAGACCACUCCGGACGCGUCUUUGUCGCUCUGUCCGACCGCGCUAGACGAAGCAACGUCCUUUUUCGCAGACAUUUUUAAGAGUGGGGCCAAAACGGAACCUACAUGGUAGUAUGCCAACAGUAAAAAACAAAGACCCGGCCCCACAACCCUAACGGCAAAAACGCCCAGAAAACCUAACAUAGUCAGCAUCCCCAUCCUAAACCCUGGCUCUACCCCAAAGCAGGAUUGAUAACCCGCAAAAGGUGCAGAAGGGCAACAGAAACCCUAACGCACCCAAAACGAACCAAAACCCCCUGGAAAAGCCCUAAACACCCAUACUGACCCCCAAUCGCAAAUAGCUUGCCCAACAAGCCAGAAACAGCUACAAAACAAACAUAACGAGGAGAAGGUAGGAAUAGAGAACUUACCUCGCGUGAACUGGUAAAACGGAGAUGAAGUCCACGAUGCAAUCACCCUCACGACACGAAUGUUGCUAGCAGAAGCCCUAGAACUUCACUUGCAGAUGAAGAUACGCAGGAGGCCGAAGAAAAACACUACCAGCAGAAAAUGCAGAAAGAAAAAACGCAGGAGUAGGGAGCUCGGUCUGCUAUUUAUAGAGAGACAGCCCCUCGGUAUCCCAAAUGCCCAGCCGCACCGUUAUUGAAAAGACACGCUGCCUGGGAAUUCCCAGGGACAGCGGCUCGUCAUAAAUGCCCUUCUUCCUUUUCGCCUCCGCGCACCACGUGACCCAAUGAGCACAAAAAGUAACCUAAGUUUCAAAAACAAUCAUUUUUAACCCGCCUAUUCUGCCAGGGCAAAAUCGGCAAGUUAAAAGGGGGGGCAUUGUAAGGACCCCUCCCCCUGAUGACACAUGGCGCGCAUCGCUAUCCGGAGCAACUCCAUCCGGACUCCCCAAGAGGACACGUGGCACGCUCCCCUAUCCGGACUCCCCAGGGGAGGCACACGACACUCUCAAACAUCAUGUCAAGACGAUAGCAUAUUCUAUCUGAAUAUGCUGUCUGGAUCAUUGACUGAAGUAAGCAAGCCUUGAUGAGUCAUCCCCGACAGCCUGCCACAGCCCACGUUCCGCCGCCUGUUGAGCGAAAGGAUAGGAGCGAUGGCAAUUCGCCUCCCACGAUCUCUGACAGCCGCCUGCAAAGUGAUGAUGGCUCUGCCACCACCUUGAGGGCAUCAUGACGAGCCAAAAAGUCUUCCCACCAUUAAAGAGAGAGGCAGAGCUUCUGACACUAUAUAAAAGGACCUUCACACAAGGAAGAAGGUAAGCUUACUAUCCCUGAAAAAGGCCGACAGCUUAAUCUCUUGAGCCAUGGCUAACAAAACCAUCGGAGGGUGUGUCCGGACAUCCUGUCUGGACAUCUUUUGUAGGGAAGAUUGAACCAGAACUCAAUCUUGGUUGAAAGCGUGCAUCCACUUGGCAGCUACGUGGAUCAUUGGGACGCAAGGCAUCAACAUUAAGGAUUUAUUUUGUUAAUGCAUACAAAUUUGCAUCAGUGUCCUUUAUCUUUUGCAAGCAUCCUAAGCUUUGGGUUAUUUUACAGAUUUAGGGGCACUUGUUGAAUGUAAUAUCAUCAUCCAAUCUGAUCCAUAGUUCCAUAUCUCAAAUAAUUAUGGGUCAGGGGAUUUAGCUGAAAGUACAUCAUUUAUAAAGCAUGGAGUGGAUCCUCUAUAAAGAACUAUAGAAAAAAAAUUAUUGUUUCCUUGCAAUAUUUGAUUUAGCUAGCAUUUACUCAAUUGGAAUAUAUAUAUUUUUUUAUAGGUAAACGCACAGAAAAUUUUAUAUAUAAAAAGAGAAAAUGGCACCUAAAGGCCAACCCAAAGCAUACAAGGAGUAUACAAGAAGUGCCUAAAGACAAUAACAAAAAAGAAAAGGGGAUACAAAAAAUCUCACCAGCUCUCAUCUAGAAACCAACAAAUCAAAAAAGUUGUUUAAAGGUAAAUGUCCUUCAUCUAUAAAUGACUUAGUCCAAGGCAAAAAAUUACAUACAAAAGAAUUUUUCAUCAUUUGAAUCGAAAACUCCUCAUUUUCAAAAGCAAUCUUGUUUCAUUCCUUCCAAACCGACCAAAAGAGACAAAAUGGAGGCUUCAUCCAAACAUUUCUAAGCUUCUUGCCCAUAAAGGAACCAUGCCAACCAAGAAGGGUAUCUUUAAAAUAAAAUAAAAAAUUCUUAUUGUGUUUUUUAAUUUGUUUCAAAAUUAUCCUCAAAAGUUUCUAUGGCAAGUACACCUACCACUUUUUUUUUUCUUUCUCUAUUAUAUCAACUCUCUCACACCUUCGAUUCAAGCCAUGUUCCCAUUAUUUUCCUUCUUUUUUUUUUUCUUUUCCUCUCACCAUCAUAUCCAUUGUCCCCUAUCAUAUUUCUUAUUGUUAUUUUUCUCUCUUUCCUUUGACAUUUCUUUUAAUAUGCUCAUGUAUUCUCUCAUAAAACCUCUUUAAUUUCAAUUUUUUUUCACCUCUAAUUUCUCCAUACCUAUUGAUUUUAAUUUUUAAACACAUUAAACUUAAAAUGAUAACAUAUAAUAAAUAAUUAAAUAAAAACAUAAAUAUAUAUUGAACAAAAAUGAAAAUAUUAUCUCAUGAAUAAUAUACUUGAUAAUUUUAAAUAUUAAUUAUAGUAACACGUUUGAUAAUUUAAGGUUUAAAUUUAAAAAUUAUAUUUUAUUAUUUAGAUGUUUAUGAUAUAAGAUAUUUUAUAUUAACGAUAAAUAAAAUAUUUAUUUAUUUUGUAAAUCUUAUCACAUGGGAAAGUAAAAAUAUCUUUGUAUUAUUAUUAUUAUUUUUAUUUUUGUUUUUUGUUUUGUGUUAAAUUUUUUAUAUCAAAAUCAAAAUAAGUGAUGGUGUUUUUAUCCUUUUUGUUAUGGUUUUUAACUUGAUCAUAGUUUUAACUUUUUGCUUGAUUAAAAUCUUUAAAUUUUUAUUAACAUAAAAUAUAAAAGAAAAUAUAUUUUUUCAUUAAAAAAAAUUAUUUUAUAUUAAUUUUUCUUAUAUUUGUUAAAGUGCGUACAUCAUUUAGAAAAAUAUAUAUAAUCCUUAAUAGCGCCUAACGGAGCUCUAGUUGAAAAUUUAAAAAAAUAUAUGUAUUUUUGUGAAGAAUGUACAUAUAUAUAUUUUUUUAGAAUGUAUGUAUUUUUCUUAAAGAUGUACAUGAGAUUCCAAAUCAAAUUCUGAGUGCAUGGAGACCUCAAAUUGAUUCCCAAGGUUCCCCAAAUGAAUAUUUAGACCCAAAUGGGGUUAACAGGGUCUUAGUUGGCUUCCAAAAAAACAUAUAUAUUUUUGUGAGGAAUACACAUUUUCAUAAGGAUGUACAUGGGGUUUCAAAUCGUAUUUCGAGGUGGGGAAAUUACUCAAAUCCAUUCCCAAGGUUUCUCAAAUGAAUAUUUAGACCCAAAUAGGGUUUAAUAGGAUCUUGAUUGGCCUCCAAAAAAAUGUAUGUAGUUUUGUGAAGAAUGUACAUAUUUUUCUUAAGGAUAAUGUACGUAGAGUGGCAAAUCACAUUUCGAAGUGGGCAAAGGCCUCAAAUCCAUUCUCAAGGUUCCCCAAAUGAAUAUUUAAACCCAAAGAGGGCCUAAUGGGGUCUCGGUUGGCCUCCAAAAAAAUGUAUGUAUUUUUGUGAAUAAUAUACGUACUUUUCUUAAGCAUGUACGUGGAGUUCCAAAUUGCAUUUCAGGGUGGGGGAAGUCCGAUAUAUGACCUUUAUAUUCCUUUGGGACCCUCAAGAAGUCAUUUAAGCAUUCCCCCACCCAAAAAAGGAUUUUGGAACCUCAUGUAUAUCCUUAAGAAAAAUAAAUACAUUAUUCACAAAAAUACAUACAUUUUUUUCAUAGGGAACCAAGACUCCAAUCACGCUUAUUAUGACCUAUAUAGUCCUUUGGGGACCCUUAAGAAGUGAUUUGAAGCAUUCCCUCACCUUAAAAUGGACUUUGGAACCCCACAUACAUCCUUAAGAAAAAUAAGUGUAUUCUUCAUAAAAAUACACGCAUUUUUUCCAAGGAAAAUCGAAACCUCAAUCACCCUUGUUAUGACCAUGUUCCUUUGGGGACCCUCUGAUUGGAGCCAAAAUAUGUGCUCUAAUGGUACAUAUUCGAUAUGAUUUGUACACCAAAAGACAUCCAAAUCACCCAAAUUGACCUAAAUCAAUGCAAGGCCCUAGCCAUGAGUUUAAUCUAUACUUUGGAGAUUUAUCUCAGGUUCAAGGGAAGAAAAUUGUGCAAAUUGAAUGACUUUAAAUUUUGAAAGAUCAAGAAAGGGCUAAAUGAGGAAAUAAGUGAGUCAAGAUUCAUCAAAUGCAAGGAAAGGCAAAACAAGGAUAUCAUGAGGUUGGAGGAUGAUAAAUGACCAUUAUGGAGUAAGAAAGAAGGCAAGAAAGAAUGGGAAAUGAGGCAUGAAGCAAGAUUUAGUUGCAUGGAAAUUUAGAACUCAAAAAUCUGAUGGCAUUAUAUACUUUGACUUUGAGGACAAAUUUGGAGCACUUUCUGGAGUCCAUUAUAUACAUACUAUAUAUCAUUUCGAAGCUCGAGAAGUCAGGAGUCCAAAACUUCAAACGGUUUGCAAAUCGGAGCUGAAAUGAAGAAAUUAUGGCCAUUUGAAGACAACUGCACCAAGCUGGAGGGUCAUUUCGAAAUGAUUUCGAAAUUCAACUUAUGAUUUCGAAAUUCAACUUAUGAAUUCGAAAUCCACUUCGAAAUGACACCAAUUUCAAAUUCACUCACUGCCACUUUGAUGUUCCGCCUCCUCUACCUCGGGAAUUGCAUCUAAAGCACUCCAUCCGCCCUAGGUGGACCCCACAAGACUAGAAAUCACAAUUUUAUUAUUUUUUAAUCAUUUUUAGGAAAUUAUUUUGUAAUAAGUGGCCAAUGAGAGUGUGCCACAUGUUAGGUAAUUGAGGAUAUUAUAUAAACUCUCUCAAUUCUAGGUUUUAGGAAUCUGGGAUCUUGGAUUUUUUUUUCUGGAGUUUUUGACAUUGAAGGAGGAAGAAGACGAGAACUUUGGUUUGUUUUCUUUUUCUUCUUUAUUGAAUACAUUGUUUUUAGUUUCUUUUGAUUCAAAUUAUGGAUUUUUACCCUACUAUGGAUUGUGAAUGUGACAUCACCCCCAUGAGAGGCUAAGAUCCAACUUGGGGCUUGAAGCAUGAAAACUUAAGGGCUAGGAAACCUAUAGGGACAAUGGGUGAAUUAUUAUAACAAUGAGAUUAAUUAUUGGUUGAGUGACAAUUUAUCAAUUUUUUUAUCCUAUCCUUGUGAGUUCGUUUAGGGAAUGAUACGAUAGGUUAUUACUUGAUACUAGUAAUUCUUGGUAAUUCUUGAUCAUUAGUUAUCCUCAUCUUACCUACCGUUAUUUGCCCCUAAACAAAGCUAUAAGGAGUAGGAAUAGUUAAAAAGCCAAAUCUUAAAUUAAUAAUCAAUCUCAUUCAUUUGAUGGUUUUAGGAAUCUGUUUUAAAGGAAAAAUUAGGUUUCGGAUGCAAUUUUGAGUUAUAGAACUCAACUUGAUCGCGAGUGGCCAAGGAUUCCAAAACCCUAAGAUCAUAUUACUUAAAAUACCCUUGUUUUCUAUAAUUUCUAUACCCUAGGUUGGAUUGUGGAAAACCCCAAACUUGAAUCAAUUGAAUUUAAAAUCAAUAUUCAUUUUCUCUUAUUAAUUUAAUUUCUUUUACUUAGUUUCACAUUAUUCACAUAUUGUUUUUCACUUAAGGAUUUAAACAAAAACAAUUCAUUUAUUCUAGUAUUGACAAUUUUCAUAAGCCAGUCCUUGAGAACGAUACCCGGAAUACUACAAAAGUUGUAGUGACUCUUUCUCUAGUUUUUCUUGACCAGAGUUACUACGUAAAAAGGCUAAGUAUUUUGGUAUAAUAGAGAAAUUUCGGUCACCCUCAGAAAGUGAUUUGAGGCAUUUCUUCAUCCCGAAAUGAACUUUGAAACCCCACAUACAUUCUUAAGAAAAAUAAGAAUAUUCUUACGAAAAAUAAGUAUAUUCUUCAUAAAAAUACAUAAAUUUUUUCCAAGGGGUACUAGGACUCCAAUCACGCUUAUUUGACCUAGAUAUUCUUUUAAGGACCCUCAGGAAGUGAUUUGAAGUGUUCUUCCACCCUGAAAUAGACUUUGGAACCUCAUGUAUAUUCUUAAGAAAAAUAAGUAUAAUCUUCACAAAAAUAGGUACAUUUUUUUCAAGGAAAACCGAGACCUCAAUCACCCUUAUUAUGACCUAUAUAUUCCUUUAGGGACCCUUGAGAAGGUAUUCCCCUGCCAUAAAAAGGACUUUGGAACCAUACGUACAUCCUCAAGAAAAAUAAGUACAUUUUUCACCAAAAAAAAAUAUGUACACUUUUUCCAAGGGUGACUAAGACCUCAAUUGCCCUUAUUAUGACCUUAUAUUCCUUUGGGAACCCUAGGGAAGUGGUUUGAGGCAUUCCCCUAACUCGAAAUAGACUUUCAAAUCCCACGUACAUUCUUAGGAAAAAUAAGUACGUUCUUAAGAAAAAUAUGUACAUUCUUUUCAAGGGGAACCUAUAUCACAUUUACCCUUAUUUUGACCUAUAUAUUUCUUUAGGGACCCUCAAUAAGUGAUUUGAGGCUUUCCCUUACCUUGAAAUAGACUUUGAAAUGUCACGUAUAUCCUUAAGAAAAAUAAGGACAUUCGUUACAAAAAUUCGUAUAUUUUUCCCAAUGGGAACAAGGACCCCAAUGACCCUCAUGAAGUAAUUUCAGGCGUUCCCCCACUUUGAAAAGGACUUUGGAACCAGAUGUACAUCCUUAAGAAAAAUAAGUACAUUUUUUGCAAAAAUAUAUACAUUUUUUCCAAGGGGAAUCAGGAAUCUUUUCACCUUUAUUAUGACCUAUAUAUUCCUUUGGAGACCCUUGGGAAGUGAUUUGAGAUGUUUUCUCACUUCGAAAUGAACUUUGGAACACUACGUGCAUCUUUAAGAAAAAUAAAUACAUCCUUAAUGAAAAUAAAUAUAUUCUUUAGAAAAAUAAGUACAUUCUUGCCAAGGGGAACCUAAAUCCCAAUAACCUUAUUAUGACUUAUAUAUUCCUUUGGAGACUCUCAAGAAGUGAUUUGAGGCAUUCCCUCACCUCGAAAUGGACUUUGAAACCUCACAUAUAUAUAUCCUUAAGAAAAAUAAGCACAUUCUUAUUAAAAAUAAAUACAUUCCUCACAAAAAAAAAAAAUGCGUACAUUUUCUUCAAUGGGAACUGGGACCCGUAUCACCCUUAUUAUGACCUAUAUAUUUCUUCAAGGAUCUUCAAGAAGUGAUUUGAAACAUUCCCCCUACCUGAAAUAGACUUUGGAACCUCAUAUACAUUCUUAAGAAAAAUAAGUAUACCCUUAAGAAAAAUAAGUAUAUUCUUUCCAAGAGAAACCCAAACCCUAAUCACCCUUAUUAUGAUUUAUAUAUUUCUUUGGGGACUCUUAAGAAGUGAUUUAAGGCGUUCCCCCAGUUCAAAAUGGACUUUGGAACCCCACAUACAUUCUUUAGAAAAAUAAGUACAUUUUUUACAAAAAUACAUACAUUUUUUCUAAGGGGAACCAGGACUUCAAGCACGCUUAUUAUAAUUUAUAUAUUCCUUUGGAGACCUUUACAAAGUGAUUUGAAGCAUUCCCCCACCUUGAAAUGGGAUCCUUAAGAAAAAUAAGUAUAUUCUUCAUAAUAAUAAGUACAUUUUUUUUCCAAAGGGAACCAAGAAUUCUAUCACCCUUAUUAUGAUCUAUAUAUUCUUUUAAGGACCCUUGGGAAGUGAUUUGAGGCUUUCUUUCACCCCGAAAUGAACUUUAGAACCCUACGUACAUCCUUAAAAAAAAUAAGUACAAUCUUUAAAAAUAAAAAUAAAUACAUUAUUUUCAAGGAGAACCAAAUCUUUAUUAUGACUUAUAAAUUCCUUUGAGGACCCUUGAGAAGUGAUUCGAGGCAUCCUCUCACCCUGAAAUGGACUUUGGAACCUCACAUACAUCUUUAAGAAAAAUAAGAAAAAUUAAUAUAAUUACAUCUUUAAGAAAAAUAAGUAUAUUAUUAAGAAAUUGACUUUGGAACCUUAUAUACAUUCUUAAAAAAUAUAAGUACAGCCUUAAGAAAAAUAAGUACAUUCAUUAUAAGGGAAUGAGACCCUAAUCACCCUUAUUAUGACUUAUAUAUUCCUUUGAAAAUCUCGGGAAGUAAUUUAAGGUGUUCCCCCACUCCGAAAAGGACUUUGGAAUCCUAGGUACAUCCUUAAGAAAUUUAGUGAAUAAAUUAUAUAAUUUUCCAUAAAAAUAUAUAUUAAAAAAUAAAGAAAUAUGGAAAAAAAAAUAAUAGGACUUUCUAGUAAAAAAAAUUAUUUGAUUUUAAUAAAAAAAAUUAUUAAUCAUAAAAAGAACACAUGGAACAUAAUAGGAAUUUUUAAUAAAUAAAUAAUUUAAAUUUUUUAUUAAAAAAUAAAUAAUAUAUAUUCUAGAAAUAAAGAAAGAGAUGAUAUAAAAAAAUGUAAACAAAAGAAUUUGUAAAUAAAUAAAUUAUUUAAAAAAAUCUAAAUAAAGUAUCAUAUAUUAAAUAAUAAAGAAAAAUAUGUACAACAAGGUUUAAUAAAUAAUAAAUUAUUUAGGAUUGGGCUUAUGGCAAGCUCAAGCCCAGCCCAUGCAUGGUCCCUAUAAGUAGAUAUUUAAUCAUGCAACCUACUACAGUGAUUUAAUACAUACUAAAAAUAGAAUCCAUCAUCACGUUUCCUUGUUUUGUACUCAAGUUUAAUAUCAACUCUUAACUACAUAAAAUAUUAAAUUAUACUAAAAUAAUAUAAAUUAUAUAUUGUAAUGUAAAUAUGUAAUUUAUAUAAGAAUAAGAUCUUAAUAAAAUAAAAUGAGAGAAUCUUUUUCCGAACAAUUUUAUCCAAGCUUCAUUCAGGAUUUGAUUUUAGAAAAAAGGCAAAUAGAGUGAAUAAAUGAAGGAAUUCUUGAGUGGAUUGUAGGAAUUGGGUUCGAUAAUAAUAAUAUCUCCCAAACAUGUCAAAACUUGAUAUCAUCCCACCAGGAGAUGUAAGGAUUGAUACAUAAAAUAUUUUUUUUAUAAUGAAAUAAAUAUGUCUAAAUACUUUAUUUUAUGGAUAAAUCAUUUAAAUCCAAUUGAUAAAGAAAACAUCAUAAAGAUCGGGUUUUAAGCUGAUACAAUAAUAAGUGUUUGGAGUUUUAUCAACAACUUGCUUGUGUGUGUGGGAAUUUGGUAUUUUCUGAAUCAUUAUGUAAGGAAUUAUCUUUGGUAGUUGAGAUUUGAAGGUUCCAUACAUGUUACAUCUUCAUGGUUGGAAACAUGAAGCUGGAAACCCCUCAUUUCUAACAACUGACCAUAUGUACAUGCAAAUUCACAUAUUCAUGAUAUUUUGCAGUUGGGCUAUUGCAAAAAUAGAUCAGGUAUAUUACUGAGGAUAUAUACGUCUAGCCAUGUUUUUUGCUUUUGUCCAAUUUAGAUGAUGUGCUUUGGACCAAUAUGUUCAGUCGUUGACCAUAUGACUAGGAGCUAGCCGUGUAAGCUUUUUAUGCUUUUUCAGAAUCAUGUGAGCACAAAAUUCUUAAUAGUACAAACCCAUAAGUAUGAAAAGGGAAAAAAAUAAAAGUAUGAAUGUAUAUAUUGAUGUAAGAAUUUACAUGAUAACUGUGUUGAAUAAUCAAGAAAGCAAAAAUGAACACAAACAAAACAAACAAAGAUGGACUUUUCCUUUUCUAACUCCAAGCAACCCCUCUGAUGUAUUCUUCAACCCCCACAAAAAGCCCUUACAAUUUGAGGGUGGACUAGCUCUACUGAAACCCUGAGUUUCCUUCAUUUGAGGAGACCAAGUUGAAGAAGUACCACCAUAAAAAUGCUAUGAUAACUCUACCUCUAAACUCUUGGAACUAAGCAUGCCAUGCUCCUUAAAGAACCCGGUCAUCGAAUUCUCCAACAAGGAAAUGUCUACAACAAAUAAAAUCUCAAGGAAUCAACAAAUAUGGGUUAUGCAAAACUGUCCUGGUUUGCAUUAGUGACCCUUUCCACGAUGACUUGGACCGGAAUAGGCUCGGUUUGUGAAGAACUCUUUGAUGGGUGAAGGAAAAGGCUGGUCCUUGAGAGGUCUCAAGCCAUCAACAUGCAUGGCAUAGGAGAGGAAGAGGAAGAAGAUGAUGAUGGAAAUGGUAUUGAAAGCAAAAAUGAGAGAAUGGCUCUUCAUUGUGGUGGCCUUUGUGUGUGGUUAGGCUAUUGGGUUUUGGGAGUUUUGAGAUAUGGUAUGUAGGGAGAAUGGAAAUAGGGACUUGUAUAUAAAGGAAAUGAAGAAGGGCGUUUGUGUGUUUUUCUUGACUUUGGUAAUUGUUGGUGUAUUUUGUAUAUUGAAAUAUUUGAAUUUGCAGCUCAAACUUUGAAAAUAGGAAUGUAGGUGGAUCAAAACAUAUGGCCAAGUCAAUGUCGGGCAAAAUAUAACUACGUUGUUAGUCUUUUGGUAGGCUACAAAUUUAGCUUUUUUAAUAUGUUUGGUUGUUAUUUAUCUUGAACUUGGAACUAAGUUCCGUACUGUCACAACCCAACGAUAAACGUAAAGUUGUCCCCUUUCCCCGACUCAUUCCACUCUCUCCACCUUCCUUUCCCAUUGAGACCCUUAAUGGGUCAAACACACAUCUCACACGUAGAAUGAAAACUAGCACAU